This 1324-nucleotide ribosomal RNA is filed under the name metagenome. Its description in RNAcentral is "bacterial LSU rRNA". It matches the Rfam family "Bacterial large subunit ribosomal RNA", at positions 1561 to 2925 of the family's 2925-position model. The record is from RNAcentral.
AGUGGAUGGGGAGCAACCUAGUUGUGCGUGUGUAAAGGUAGUGCCAAGAAAAGCGGUGAUCAUGAUGAAAAUCAAUUCCCGGUACCCGAAACCGACACAGGUGGGCAAGUAGAGAAUACUAAGGGGCGCGAGGUAACUCUCUCCAAGGAACUCGGCAAAAUGACCCCGUAACUUAGGGAGAAGGGGUGCCACCGAGAGGUGGUCGCAGUGAAGAGGCCCAGGCGACUGUUUAGCAAAAACACAGGUCUCUGCAAACUCGAAAGAGGAGGUAUAGGGGCUGACGCCUGCCCAGUGCCGGAGGAUUAAAGAAGUUGGUCAGUCUUAGGAUGAAGCUAGCGACUGAAGCCCCGGUGAACGGCGGCCGUAACUAUAACGGUCCUAAGGUAGCGAAAUUCCUUGUCGGGUAAGUUCCGACCCGCACGAAAGGCGUAACGAUCUGGGCGCUGUCUCGGAGAGAGGCUCGGCGAAAUAGGAUUGUCUGUGAAGAUACGGACUACCUGCAUUUGGACAGAAAGACCCUAUGAAGCUUUACUAUAGCUUGGAAUUGUGUUCGGGCUUCCUGUGCGCAGGAUAGGUGGGAGGCGUAGAAGGUAUUCUUGUGGGGAUACUGGAGCCAACGGUGAGAUACCACUCUCAGGAGGCUAGAAUUCUAACUUAAUUAAGGACAGUUUCAGGUGGGUAGUUUGACUGGGGCGGUCGCCUCCAAAAAGGUAACGGAGGCGUACAAAGGUUCCCUCAGACUGGUUGGAAAUCAGUCGAAGAGUGCAAAGGCAGAAGGGAGCUUGACUGCGAGAAGUACAGUUCGAGCAGGGUGGAAACACGGUCUUAGUGAUCCGACGGUGCUGUGUGGAAGGGCCGUCGCUCAGCGGAUAAAAGUUACUCUAAGGAUAACAGGCUGAUCUCCCCCAAGAGUUCACAUCGACGGGGAGGUUUGGCACCUAUGUCGGCUCAUCGCAACCUGGGGCGGAAGUACGUCCCAAGGGUUGGGCUGUUCGCCCAUUAAAGCGGUACGUGAGCUGGGUUCAGAACGUCGUGAGACAGUUCGGUCCAUAUCCGAUGUAGGCGUGAGAAUAUUGAGAGGAGCCUUCCUUAGUACGAGAGGACCGGGAAGGACGCACCGCUGGUGUACCUGUUAUGAUGCCAAUUGUAAACGCAGGGUAGCCAAGUGCGGAGAGGAUAACCGCUGAAAGCAUCUAAGUGGGAAGCCCACCUCAAGAUGAGUAUUCUGGUGUAAGGUCACGGGAAGACGACCCGUAAAUAGGCACGAGGUGGAAGUGCAGAGAUGUAUGAAGCCGAAGUGUACUAAUAGACCGUCGGCUUGACC